This is a long non-coding RNA of Archocentrus centrarchus (flier cichlid), 476 nucleotides long. RefSeq lists it as uncharacterized. The transcript is spliced from 3 exons. The record is from RefSeq and is a predicted model, not a curated record. NCBI's taxonomy places the organism in Eukaryota, Metazoa, Chordata, Actinopteri, Cichliformes, Cichlidae.
GCUCCCAUUUUGUCACGCUAGCUGGAUGGCUCCGUGCUGAAGUUCUGCAACAAGUAGUUUACUGACCCCUGCAUGCACAGAGGGGUCAGGGGUGAGAAGAAAAAAAAAGUGUUUCCCACAGAACUAGACCACAUUCGUGGGAGUAGCUAUAGAGCAGGUUCUCCACCCUGUGAAGUGGAGGCCCACUCUAACCAGGAGCCACGGCACGAUCAUCAGCCUACCAGAAAACAUGAGGCAGGGAGGGCUGAUGCUAAAUGGUUAGCAACAGCUCAGCUCAUGGCUGCCCUUUCUUGAGCCUGCUUCUGCAGGAGGUCUCCUGUUAAAAGGGCGUUCUUCCUCCCCACUUUCAUCAAGUCCUUGCUGAUAGGGAAUCAUCUGAUUGUUGUAGUCCUCUCUCUGAUACUGUACCUUACAAUGGACUGUGCCUUCAGUCCACUGUUGCUGAGAACUGGCACUAUAUCAAUAAAAAAUUAAAC